This 1013-nucleotide long non-coding RNA is filed under the name Mytilus galloprovincialis (Mediterranean mussel). Lineage: Eukaryota; Metazoa; Mollusca; Bivalvia; Mytilida; Mytilidae. The record is from RNAcentral.
GCUUAAACAUUUUUAUAAAAUCAGAAAAACUGUUAUUUAUAACUUUAGAUAAAGAGUACAGUGUUCCCCCCAGAAAUUUCAAAUUGCACCAUGAAAAUUAACAAAGUACUAGUUUUCCAAAUAAUCUAGCACCAUAUGCAUGGUCCCUAUACAUUCUAUUCAAAAAUCAUACAAGAUAGCACCAUGGUGGAAAAUAUAGUACCAGGGUACCAGAGUGAUGUAAGGCACUGGGAGAUCACUGUUUAAAGAGUUUAAGUUUAUUAAUUCAUGUUUACUUUAAAUUCAUCAGAAAUUACAUGCUAUUAGGAUUUGUUUCAUCGAAUACAUUAUGACUUCAUUGUAAAUGUACGAGGCAAUCCAAAUUCAUUAAAGGGGGCUGAGGAGUCCUGUUCCAGUUAUGCUUCAGUGAUUCCCUAAAAAUCAACCAAGUGUUUCCCAAAGAGAAGGGAGGGUUAGGGUCCACCCUCCCCCUUAAUCUGCUUCUGCUUAUCAAUCUUCCCCAGGCCACACUUAAAAAUAUUUUGGUUUGCCCAAACCCUACCCAAAGGUUAAGACAGUGGGUAGGUAGGUAGGCAUUUUCUUUUUUUUUCAGAAAAAAGAAAUUGAAGUAUCAGAUGUUUAUUAGUCUUCAUGCCUAUUUGAUUAAAAAAAAACUUCUUCAAAUCAGGACAAUAAAAGAAUUUGAGUAGGCAGCUUUUUUCUGGGUAGGUAGCGUUUGGGCAAACAAACCUAUUAUUUAUUAUGGCCCCAGCUGAAAUUUUUAUCUGAGCAUUCAAUUGCUUGUACAUACAACCAGUUUUAAUAAUCUGAAGGGGCUCAGAAAAUGGGAUAUUUUUUUCAGAAUGUGGAUACUUAAAACCUUUAGUCCAGAGAGACUUGUCAAUUUAAUAAGAAAGUCUUCACAUAGAUCAAAACAUACAUUAGCCAUUAAGUCAGUAUCAUGAGAUUACAUAAAAACUUUGAUACAAUGGAUGACAAAAGAUAUUAUAGAGUUACUUCCCUUGGCAUGUUAC